AGUCGAGGGGUAUAGUUCUUCGGAACUAGAGACCGGCGCACGGGUGCGUAACGCGUAUGCAAUCUACCUUUCACAAAGGGAUAGCCCAGAGAAAUUUGGAUUAAUACCUUAUAGUAUAUAUGAAUGGCAUCAUUUAUAUAUUAAAGAUUUAUCGGUGAAAGAUGAGCAUGCGUCCCAUUAGCUUGUUGGUAAGGUAACGGCUUACCAAGGCUACGAUGGGUAGGGGUCCUGAGAGGGAGAUCCCCCUCACUGGUACUGAGACACGGACCAGACUCCUACGGGAGGCAGCAGUGAGGAAUAUUGGACAAUGGGCGCAAGCCUGAUCCAGCCAUGCCGCGUGCAGGAUGACGGUCCUAUGGAUUGUAAACUGCUUUUGUACAGGAAGAAACAGUUCUACGUGUAGAACCUUGACGGUACUGUAAGAAUAAGGAUCGGCUAACUCCGUGCCAGCAGCCGCGGUAAUACGGAGGAUCCAAGCGUUAUCCGGAAUCAUUGGGUUUAAAGGGUCCGUAGGCGGUUAGAUAAGUCAGUGGUGAAAGCCCAUCGCUCAACGGUGGAACGGCCAUUGAUACUGUCUGACUUGAAUUAUUAGGAAGUAACUAGAAUAUGUAGUGUAGCGGUGAAAUGCUUAGAGAUUACAUGGAAUACCAAUUGCGAAGGCAGGUUACUACUAAUGGAUUGACGCUGAUGGACGAAAGCGUGGGUAGCGACAGGAUUAAUACCCUGGUAGUCACGCCGUAA
This 741-nucleotide ribosomal RNA is filed under the name uncultured bacterium. Its description in RNAcentral is "bacterial SSU rRNA". It matches the Rfam family "Bacterial small subunit ribosomal RNA", at positions 60 to 805 of the family's 1533-position model. The record is from RNAcentral.